GCAGCCCACGAAACGUCCGCACAUCUCUUAAUAACGAAACCUAAGGCUAAUCCCAAUGGAGAGUUUCAUUUUGAUGUUUCCAAGAUAGCCACAUAAGUAACAUGAAAAUGAAAUUGUAUUUGAAACUACCUCUACAAUGCAAAAUUUCAUGGUGUAGUUUCAUAUGCACUACAUACAAGACACAAACUGUGUUGGUAACUGUGCAUACAUGAUUUCAUCUAGAUGAAACCCCUCUUACCUCUCUCCUCAUUAACUCACUGCCACAUCAUCAAAAAUGCUGACAUGACACCCUAAUUAAUGUGCAUGAAACCUCUAUGAAACCUGCACUGGGAUUAGUCUAAGCCAAGCUCUAAUAUAUCAUUGGGCCACGUCUCUUUUUUUAAUCUCUUAAUAACGAAACCUAAGCCAAGCUUCUAGUGUAUCAUUGGGCCACGUCUCUUUUUUUUAAUCAGCCGUCGGAUGUUGAUCAGGCGUCCAGUGUGGGCACUACAGCUAGCGUUCCAGAGGCUUCGUCCACACCGGUUUUCAGCUUGCACCGCCGCUGGUUGUUCCCCUCCGCGGCUCCGCUGCUGUCGCCUCCUCCAACUCGUUCGUCCUCCAUCAUCCCCAUCCGCCUCGGCGCACAUGCUCGCAGUCCUCUCCUCCAA
Molecule: long non-coding RNA, 647 nt
Filed under: Setaria viridis
Lineage: Eukaryota; Viridiplantae; Streptophyta; Magnoliopsida; Poales; Poaceae
Description: long non-coding RNA (SVIR_LNC002184)
Source: RNAcentral